AGUGAACGCUGGCGGUAGGCCUAACACAUGCAAGUCGAACGGCAGCACAGUAAGAGCUUGCUCUUACGGGUGGCGAGUGGCGGACGGGUGAGGAAUACAUCGGAAUCUACUUUUUCGUGGGGGAUAAUGUAGGGAAACUUACGCUAAUACCGCAUACGACCUACGGGUGAAAGCAGGGGAUCUUCGGACCUUUCGCGAUUGAAUGAGCCGGUGUCGGAUUAGCUAGUUGGCGGGGUAAAGGCCCACCAAGGCGACGAUCCGUAGCUGGUCUGAGAGGAUGAUCAGCCACACUGGAACUGAGACACGGUCCAGACUCCUACGGGAGGCGGCAGUGGGGAAUAUUGGACAAUGGGCGCAAGCCUGAUCCAGCCAUACCGCGUGGGUGAAGAAGGCCUUCGGGUUGUAAAGCCCUUUUGUUGGGAAAGAAAAGCAGCAGGUUAAUACCCCGCUGUUCUGACGGUACCCAAAGAAUAAGCACCGGCUAACUUCGUG
This 492-nucleotide ribosomal RNA is filed under the name uncultured bacterium. RNAcentral describes it as "partial 16S ribosomal RNA". It matches the Rfam family "Bacterial small subunit ribosomal RNA", at positions 29 to 507 of the family's 1533-position model. The record is from RNAcentral.